CAGAAAUGCACUCUUCCUUGCUCCUUUUCGUUGCUGAUAGGUCAUUUAUUACUGGGGCUGAAAUGAGAUAAACAAUUCUCUCUCUUUUCCCCCUUGUUAACAGCAACUUUCAUUGUUGCAGAGAGAAGAGCCUUGUUGGUUGACGUCACUUUUGGUUCAUGAAGGCUUCGCCUGGAAGUGAAGCUGUAUAAACCUUGAGAAGAGAAUCUGCUUCAAUCUGCUGCCGCUGUAAGGAACUAACCAGGGAGAGACAGCGAGAGAAACAGAUACACGCAGAGAGGGUUACACUCUCCCAAAUUUCCCCACCCCUCCUUAGUGUUUCUUUACACUCUUCUUGAGGGUGUUGGACAGGGAAACGUUCCUGACACACACAUAUCCUAACCUCCAGCAACCCGAGAAAGGGAAGAUCUCUUCCAAACUAGAAAGAUUUCAGGACAAGGAAGGAGGGACGGAGAGAUCGUGCUCAGAUGGGCAAAGCUGCUGCCGGAGUUGAGGUGUUGGUGUUCUGCAGCCGCUGAAUUGAAGUGUAAAGGAGCAGAUGUUUUGCCAAACAUCCUGAUGUGUUGCUUUUUCUUAUGGGAGUGCGGAACUGUUCCUUCUGAUGCAUCGACUUGACAGCUGGUUGAUUUCAUGGAGCUGCUAAGAAGCCAUUAGUGGUGUCAUUGAAUUGAAACAGAACAGUCACUCCCAGCUUGAACUGCAAUUGUUAAUGUCUUUGUUGCUACUUUUGUGUUCCUACACAAGAUGUGGAAUAUCACAGUUGCAAGAAAGUUCAUGCUUUCUGUCUGAUCCUUCUGAAUUAGUGAAAGAAUUUGUUUAGUGCUUGAUUGCUUUUAGAUUCACAGUAUUCUUAUUAUGGCAUAUUCGGCACUAGAAGAUCCAAGUUGUUUUGCCAAGUCUAGAUCAACUAGAAAUGCAUCUUACUACAAAGAAACUAAGAGAGUGCUGUCCCAGAAUUGAAAUUAUUUCACCAAGAUUUAUUCUUAGUAUACUAGAUUCCUUGGAGGGUUUUUAAUUUCCCUUUAGUAAUUUAUAUUUAAAAAUCUUCAAAACCAGGUUUUAUUUUUUCUCCUUUUUAAAAAUAUAAAUGUAGGGCCAUAUCCUUCAAUUGAUUUGAAUAGAGAUUUCAGCUUUAAAAGGUAAUAGUAUAGUAUGAUCCAUUUUUUUCCCUUAAAAAAAAUUGAAGAUGGUUUUUAUAACAGAGACCUGAUAAAGGGCCAAAUAGUACUUGCUUCACUCAGGUGCGUUGGCCAUUGAUGGGAAUGACUUGCUAAGGCCAUCAGGGUUUUCCCCCAAAUUUAAGGUAACCCUCUCAAAUUUCCUUGUCCUCUACUGUUGUUUGUUUUGGUUGAUGAUAUUAAAAUAAUUUUAUCAGCUAGUCUGUGUCCUUUUUUAAAUGCUACUAAAGAGCAAUCAAGAGAAACACUGACAAAUGUUAAUGAGAAGAGAGACAACAGUGUAUUUCACAAUUGUGUAGACUAGAACAGUCUGGUUGAACACUGACAAAACAGUGUAACGGGUAAAUUGUAUGCUUUAAAGAAAUGUAUGGAGGAAAAUACGGAAUGCUAAAAUAGGUACAGAAGACAUUUAAAACUAUGUCCCCCUCAAUCUGUGC
RNAcentral lists this long non-coding RNA (1615 nucleotides) under Gopherus agassizii (Agassiz's desert tortoise). RNAcentral's name for it is "lncRNA (ENSGAGG00000009021.1)". Lineage: Eukaryota; Metazoa; Chordata; Testudines; Testudinidae. The record is from RNAcentral.